GAACGCUGGCGGCGUGCCUAAUACAUGCAAGUCGAGCGAACAGACGAGGAGCUUGCUCCUCUGACGUUAGCGGCGGACGGGUGAGUAACACGUGGAUAACCUACCUAUAAGACUGGGAUAACUUCGGGAAACCGGAGCUAAUACCGGAUAAUAUAUUGAACCGCAUGGUUCAAUAGUGAAAGACGGUUUUGCUGUCACUUAUAGAUGGAUCCGCGCCGCAUUAGCUAGUUGGUAAGGUAACGGCUUACCAAGGCAACGAUGCGUAGCCGACCUGAGAGGGUGAUCGGCCACACUGGAACUGAGACACGGUCCAGACUCCUACGGGAGGCAGCAGUAGGGAAUCUUCCGCAAUGGGCGAAAGCCUGACGGAGCAACGCCGCGUGAGUGAUGAAGGUCUUCGGAUCGUAAAACUCUGUUAUUAGGGAAGAACAAAUGUGUAAGUAACUAUGCACGUCUUGACGGUACCUAAUCAGAAAGCCACGGCUAACUACGUGCCAGCAGCCGCGGUAAUACGUAGGUGGCAAGCGUUAUCCGGAAUUAUUGGGCGUAAAGCGCGCGUAGGCGGUUUUUUAAGUCUGAUGUGAAAGCCCACGGCUCAACCGUGGAGGGUCAUUGGAAACUGGAAAACUUGAGUGCAGAAGAGGAAAGUGGAAUUCCAUGUGUAGCGGUGAAAUGCGCAGAGAUAUGGAGGAACACCAGUGGCGAAGGCGACUUUCUGGUCUGUAACUGACGCUGAUGUGCGAAAGCGUGGGGAUCAAACAGGAUUAGAUACCCUGGUAGUCCACGCCGUAAACGAUGAGUGCUAAGUGUUAGGGGGUUUCCGCCCCUUAGUGCUGCAGCUAACGC
RNAcentral lists this ribosomal RNA (846 nucleotides) under Staphylococcus epidermidis. Its description in RNAcentral is "bacterial SSU rRNA". It matches the Rfam family "Bacterial small subunit ribosomal RNA", at positions 31 to 858 of the family's 1533-position model. Lineage: Bacteria; Bacillati; Bacillota; Bacilli; Caryophanales; Staphylococcaceae. The record is from RNAcentral.